RNAcentral lists this ribosomal RNA (301 nucleotides) under uncultured bacterium. RNAcentral's name for it is "partial 16S ribosomal RNA". It matches the Rfam family "Bacterial small subunit ribosomal RNA", at positions 509 to 807 of the family's 1533-position model. The record is from RNAcentral.
CAGUAGCCGCGGUAAUACGAAGGUCCCGAGCGUUGUUCGGAAUCACUGGGCGUAAAGGGAGCGUAGGCGGCGUGGUAAGUCAGAUGUGAAAUCCCGGGGCUCAACCCCGGAUCUGCAUCCGAUACUGCCAUGCUAGAGGAUUGGAGAGGUAGCUGGAAUUCUUGGUGUAGCAGUGAAAUGCGUGGAGAUCAAGAGGAACACUCGUGGCGAAAGCGAGCUACUGGACAAUAACUGACGCUGAGGCUCGAAGGCCAGGGUAGCGAAAGGGAUUAGAUACCCCAGUAGUCCCUGUCUCUUAUAC